This 969-nucleotide long non-coding RNA is filed under the name Elaeis guineensis (African oil palm). Its description in RNAcentral is "long non-coding RNA (EGUI_LNC017113)". The record is from RNAcentral. Lineage: Eukaryota; Viridiplantae; Streptophyta; Magnoliopsida; Arecales; Arecaceae.
AUCUCCUUCUCUCUCCACACGAUCCUCUGCUUCCUCUAAGUCUCUAAGCAAGUCCGAGCAAGAUUCAAUUUUGAGCUAUGAAACAGGGACCUGAGCCACAAACAAGGAGGAAAAGCACAGCAAAGGCCCGGGUCCUACACUCUACCUACAGGAAUGCAACAAAAAAUGUAUCAAAACCCAGCAAGAUCCAAUUUUGAGCUGUGCAAAAAUGACCUGAAGCACAAACCAGGAACUCUAACCAAAGACAAUGAAGGAAUCAGCCAAAAAACAGCUCAGCUCCUGCUACCAAACCCCCUGGAAUCAAACAGGGAAUAGGCCAAACAAGUAAGUUUCAAGGAUGGACUAGGAAAAGGGUAGCAAUGGGGAGGAAGGGGGUGGUGAUUGGAGUGGGAGGAAGUUCUGAUUCAUGGGCUCCGGGAAAGGAGAUUCCGGAGAGAGAAUGAUGGGGAAUAAGAUUGGGAGAGGCGUCUGAAUGCCAAGGUCAUUAUCCUCCCAAAGGAAUUGGAUUAAAAUAAAAAACAGAUAAAACAGAGCAAUCAACAAUAAACAAAGUGCCAGAAAGGCAUCCCACUCCUCUCCACUCAUCACAAAUCAGUUGCCUUUCUGUGUUCCCAUCCCAAUCAGAGCAGUGGAUAAGCCCUGCACGCAAGCGCCCAGCUGCUUGUGGGGCCUAUGCUCUUUUUCUCCUCCAGGACUAAAAUGGCCCUUUUAUUGCUCUGUAUUACCCACUGUAACAGGGGAUGGGUUGUUCCAGUUCACAGGGACAGGGGUGUGUGGCUCCUCCUGGUGUGGAAAGAGGGAGCUUGGACAAAACGGUAGGUGGGUUCAGAGAGGGACCUGAGGCAUUUGAUGGGGAGAGUAAGAACUAGGAAGAAUUAGGGGUAGAGAGAGAAAGGGAGAGCAAGGUAAAGGAGGCUUCUUUGAGAGAGGCCUGGACUUUGAUGGGUGGAGUUGAGCUUGGUGUGGUUU